UACGGAAGGCAGCAGUGGGGAAUAUUGCACAAUGGGCGAAAGCCUGAUGCAGCUAUGCCGCGUGUAUGAAGAAGGCCUUAGGGUUGUAAAGUACUUUCAUCGGGGAGGAAAAAACAAAACUAAUAAUUUUAUUUCUUGACGUUACCCGAAAAAGAAGCACCGGCUAACUCCGUGCCAGCAGCCGCGGUAAUACGGAGGGUGCUAGCGUUAAUCAGAAUUACUGGGCGUAAAGAGCACGUAGGUGGUUUUUUUAAGUCAGAUGUGAAAUCCCUGGGCUUAACCUAGGAACUGCAUUUUGAAACUGAAAUACUAGAGUAUCGUAGAGGGAGGUAGAAUUCUAGGUGUAGCGGUGAAAUGCGUGGAUAUCUGGAGGAAUACCUGUGGCGAAAGCGGCCUCCUAAACGAAUACUGACACUGAGGUGCGAAAGCGUGGGGAGCAAACAGGGAUUAGAUACC
RNAcentral lists this ribosomal RNA (456 nucleotides) under uncultured bacterium. RNAcentral describes it as "bacterial SSU rRNA". It matches the Rfam family "Bacterial small subunit ribosomal RNA", at positions 340 to 786 of the family's 1533-position model. The record is from RNAcentral.